This 496-nucleotide ribosomal RNA is filed under the name uncultured bacterium. RNAcentral describes it as "partial 16S ribosomal RNA". It matches the Rfam family "Bacterial small subunit ribosomal RNA", at positions 29 to 507 of the family's 1533-position model. The record is from RNAcentral.
ACGAACGCUGGCGGCGUGCCUAAUACAUGCCAGUAGAACGCUGAAGAGAGGAGCUUGCUCUUCUUGGAUGAGUUGCGAACGGGUGAGUAACGCGUAGGUAACCUGCCUUGUGGCGGGGGAUAACUAUUGGAAACGAUAGCUAAUACCGCAUAACAAUGGAUGACACAUGUCAUUUAUUUGAAAGGGGCAAUUGCUCCACUACAAGAUGGACCUGCGUUGUAUUAGCUAGUAGGUGAGGUAAUGGCUCACCUAGGCGACGAUACAUAGCCGACCUGAGAGGGUGGUCGGCCACACUGGGACUGAGACACGGCCCAGACUCCUACGGGAGGCAGCAGUAGGGAAUCUUCGGCAAUGGGGGCAACCCUGACCGAGCAACGCCGCGUGAGUGAAGAAGGUUUUCGGAUCGUAAAGCUCUGUUGUAAGUCAAGAACGGGUGUGAGAGUGGAAAGUUCACACUGUGACGGUAGCUUACCAGAAAGGGACGGCUAACUACGUG